Camelus ferus (Wild Bactrian camel) is the source of this 73-nucleotide transfer RNA. It matches the Rfam family "tRNA". From Rfam's summary of the family: Transfer RNA (tRNA) molecules are approximately 80 nucleotides in length. Their secondary structure includes four short double-helical elements and three loops (D, anti-codon, and T loops). Further hydrogen bonds mediate the characteristic L-shaped molecular structure. tRNAs have two regions of fundamental functional importance: the anti-codon, which is responsible for specific mRNA codon recognition, and the 3' end, to which the tRNAs corresponding amino acid is attached (by aminoacyl-tRNA synthetases). tRNAs cope with the degeneracy of the genetic code in two manners: having more than one tRNA (with a specific anti-codon) for a particular amino acid; and 'wobble' base-pairing, i.e. permitting non-standard base-pairing at the 3rd anti-codon position. Lineage: Eukaryota; Metazoa; Chordata; Mammalia; Artiodactyla; Camelidae. The record is from Rfam.
GAGGGUAUAGCUCAAUUGGUAAAGCACAUGCUUAGAAUGCAUGAGGUCCUGAGUUCAAACCCCAGUAUCUCCU